This 304-nucleotide ribosomal RNA is filed under the name uncultured Salinisphaera sp. Its description in RNAcentral is "bacterial SSU rRNA". It matches the Rfam family "Bacterial small subunit ribosomal RNA", at positions 30 to 334 of the family's 1533-position model. Lineage: Bacteria; Pseudomonadati; Pseudomonadota; Gammaproteobacteria; Salinisphaerales; Salinisphaeraceae. The record is from RNAcentral.
AUUGAACGCUGGCGGCAGGCCUAACACAUGCAAGUCGAGCGGAAACGACAUCUUCGGAUGGGCGUCGAGCGGCGGACGGGUGAGUAAUGCCUAGGAAUCUGCCCUUUUGUGGAGGAUAACCCGGGGAAACUCGGGCUAAUACUGCAUAAUCUCUACGGAGCAAAGCGGGGGAUCUUUUGACCUCGCGCAGAAGGAUGGGCCUAGGUCUGAUUAGCUUGUUGGUGGGGUAACGGCCUACCAAGGCGACGAUCAGUAGCUGGUCUGAGAGGAUGAUCAGCCACACCGGGACUGAGACACGGCCCGG